RNAcentral lists this ribosomal RNA (253 nucleotides) under uncultured bacterium. Its description in RNAcentral is "partial 16S ribosomal RNA". It matches the Rfam family "Archaeal small subunit ribosomal RNA", at positions 474 to 727 of the family's 1478-position model. The record is from RNAcentral.
UACCAGCACCCCGAGUGGUCGGGACGAUUAUUGGGCCUAAAGCAUCCGUAGCCGGUUCUGCAAGUCCUCCGUUAAAUCCAGCUGCUCAACAGAUGGGCCGCGGAGGAUACUACAGAGCUAGGAGGCGGGAGAGGCAAGCGGUACUCGAUGGGUAGGGGUAAAAUCCGUUGAUCCAUUGAAGACCACCAGUGGCGAAGGCGGCUUGCCAGAACGCGCUCGACGGUGAGGGAUGAAAGCUGGGGGAGCAAACCGG